AGUGAACGCUGGCGGUAGGCCUAACACAUGCAAGUCGAACGGCAGCACAGUAAGAGCUUGCUCUUACGGGUGGCGAGUGGCGGACGGGUGAGGAAUACAUCGGAAUCUACUUUUUCGUGGGGGAUAACGUAGGGAAACUUACGCUAAUACCGCAUACGACCUACGGGUGAAAGCAGGGGAUCUUCGGACCUUGCGCGAUUGAAUGAGCCGAUGUCGGAUUAGCUAGUUGGCGGGGUAAAGGCCCACCAAGGCGACGAUCCGUAGCUGGUCUGAGAGGAUGGUCAGCCACACUAGAACUGAGACACGGUCCAGACUCCUACGGGAGGCAGCAGUGGGGAAUAUUGGACAAUGGGCGCAAGCCUGAUCCAGCCAUACCGCGUGGGUGAAGAAGGCCUUCGGGUUGUAAAGCCCUUUUGUUGGGGAAGAAAAGCAGCAGGUUAAUACCCCGCUGUUCUGACGGUACCCAAAGAAUAAGCACCGGCUAACUUCGUG
Molecule: ribosomal RNA, 492 nt
Filed under: uncultured bacterium
Lineage: Bacteria
Description: partial 16S ribosomal RNA
Rfam family: Bacterial small subunit ribosomal RNA
Source: RNAcentral